GACGAACGCUGGCGGCGUGCUUAACACAUGCAAGUCGAACGGAAAGGCCCUGCUUUUGUGGGGUGCUCGAGUGGCGAACGGGUGAGUAACACGUGAGUAACCUGCCCUUGACUUUGGGAUAACUUCAGGAAACUGGGGCUAAUACCGGAUAGGAGCUCCUGCUGCAUGGUGGGGGUUGGAAAGUUUCGGCGGUUGGGGAUGGACUCGCGGCUUAUCAGCUUGUUGGUGGGGUAGUGGCUUACCAAGGCUUUGACGGGUAGCCGGCCUGAGAGGGUGACCGGCGACAUUGGGACUGAGAUACGGCCCAGACUCCUACGGGAGGCAGCAGUGGGGAAUAUUGCACAAUGGGCGGAAGCCGGAUGCAGCAACGCCGCGUGCGGGAUGACGGCCUUCGGGUUGUAAACCGCUUUCGCCUGUGACGAAGCGUGAGUGACGGUAAUGGGUAAAGAAGCACCGGCUAACUACGUG
RNAcentral lists this ribosomal RNA (468 nucleotides) under uncultured bacterium. Its description in RNAcentral is "partial 16S ribosomal RNA". It matches the Rfam family "Bacterial small subunit ribosomal RNA", at positions 28 to 507 of the family's 1533-position model. The record is from RNAcentral.